UUAAAAAUCUGAAAAAUGGCACACUCUGAACCAGGGCAGAGUGUGGAUUUUCCCACUUUGCUGCAGGACCCCGCUCUGCUGAAUUCCUGGAGGGAGAGAUGCAAAACCCAGCUGGGUGCAAGGGAACCAUCAGCACGAGCUCCUGAGCCAAAAUAGGAGCUGAAGCCCCGGAAAGUCGUGGGGUAGAGCUGUGAAUCCUAGCAACAGGAGGGGAAAGAACUGUAUGUUUCUUCACGUCCUCCAAGUGUUGGUGCCUUCUGGUACAUCAUUGACAGGAAGAGACAGAGACCAUGGAAAGGCCCUUCUUGCUGAUGCGUCAAGAAAGGGCGUAUUUUUUCCAGUGGGAUGGGUUUUGCCUCAGUCACUUGCCUGGGAGGCUGCUGUGAGGAGGUGCACGAGGAUGGACUGGAGCAUCCAAAUGGAGGCCCCCAAACAUGAGCAUUUUUCCCUUUACCUUCCCGCACCAUUGGGAAUAAUAAUUCCUCGCAGGGCUGUUGCACAGCUUGAUUCAUUAAGGCUUAUGAAGUGCUUUUAGCUCCGGCACCGGAACGCUCUAUGCAAGUUGUUUUGGACUGCUCAGGUGUUAGGAGGAGAGGCAUUGCAGGAGGAAUACAAAUAAAUCAAGAGAAACUGCCCCUUCCUUCCAUGCGUCCCCUGCCCCCCACUGUUCUCCAUCACUGUUGGUGUCAAACAGUUAAUUUACAAGCCCAGCACUUUACAAAGCCCCUGGAGCACCAAUUGUCCCUUUCUCAUGCAACAUCAGCUCCUCAAAACAGCCAGCUGAGUCUCCGGGGUCAGCCUGCUCCUGCCCUUCCCGAGGCAACUUCAGCCUCUCUCCGGAACCGCCUGGGUAUUUAUUUUUGGACAAGUCAGAUCCAGCAUUACCCACCCUGCAGCAGGGUGAACCGGAAUAAGCCCGGGGUGCAGGUGGCUGCUCUGAAGUGUGCCAUGUGCUUGGCCCAGGAGGGAACAUUCACGUGGGGAAGGUGACCCAGAUAUCUCACCCAGCCCACCACCCAUGAGGGCAUCCCCACACAGCGCAGGGAGCGCUCAGCCUGGCAGAACAAACCGGGAGAGCGAUGGGCAAAGGAAGGAAGGUGAAGGCGGUGGAUCUUUCACUUGGCUUUUUUCCCCCUCCCUCCCUCGGUCUCCCUCCCCUCUUCCAGUCUGUUGCACGGGAGCUGUCGGCCAUGCUGUUCCAGUUCAGGGGCUCCUGCAACAGAAAAGAUCAGCUGUUGGAGAACCCAUGGAAAGCCCUGGGGGAGAGCCAUGGCCGCAAGGUAAUCAGCAGGCAAAGUUAUUACCAUUAUGCUGCUAAUUAAUUCCCAGCUCAUUACGUUUCCUGUGGCUAAUUUGUACUCGCCGCUGAUUUGAUUAAACUCAUCUCUAUGCUAAUAAAUGUGUUUUCCAUUUGUUUUAGCGACUGUAGGAAGAGAGCCCGGUAUUUACAUAUUUUGACGUUUAUCAAAUAAAACGCGGCGCCUGAA
Molecule: long non-coding RNA, 1487 nt
Organism: Corvus hawaiiensis (hawaiian crow)
Lineage: Eukaryota; Metazoa; Chordata; Aves; Passeriformes; Corvidae
Exons: 3
Source: RefSeq, a predicted model, not a curated record